GCGGAGGGAUCAUUACCGAGUUUACAACUCCCAAACCCAAUGUGAACGUUACCAAACUGUUGCCUCGGCGGGGUCACGCCCCGGGUGCGUCGCAGCCCCGGAACCAGGCGCCCGCCGGAGGAACCAACCAAACUCUUUCUGUAGUCCCCUCGCGGACGUAUUUCUUACAGCUCUGAGCAAAAAUUCAAAAUGAAUCAAAACUUUCAACAACGGAUCUCUUGGUUCUGGCAUCGAUGAAGAACGCAGCGAAAUGCGAUAAGUAAUGUGAAUUGCAGAAUUCAGUGAAUCAUCGAAUCUUUGAACGCACAUUGCGCCCGCCAGUAUUCUGGCGGGCAUGCCUGUCCGAGCGUCAUUUCAACCCUCGAACCCCUCCGGGGGAUCGGCGUUGGGGAUCGGGACCCCUCACACGGGUGCCGGCCCCGAAAUACAGUGGCGGUCUCGCCGCAGCCUCUCCUGCGCAGUAGUUUGCACAACUCGCACCGGGAGCGCGGCGCGUCCACGUCCGUAAAACACCCAACUUCUGAAAUGUUGACCU
This 535-nucleotide ribosomal RNA is filed under the name Trichoderma asperellum. RNAcentral describes it as "eukaryotic LSU rRNA". The stretch from base 199 to 352 matches the Rfam family "5.8S ribosomal RNA". The record is from RNAcentral. Lineage: Eukaryota; Fungi; Ascomycota; Sordariomycetes; Hypocreales; Hypocreaceae.